GUUUUCUAAACACUGACUAAUAUUUAGCUUUUCAUGCAUAAAUAUUUAGCUUUUUUUAUGUUUUUUGUUUAAUUUUAAACCACCUUAAUUGUUUUCAAUAUAUGUUAAUUUCUUAACAUUGAUCAAUAUUUAAUAAACAAAAUAAGUUUUACUGGCUUUUCUUAAACUAUAAAAAACAAAAAAAAAUAAAAUUAAGGUGGUUUAAUAUAAAACAAAAUCAUUUCUACUCGAAUAACAAUAUUUUAUAACGGCAAUUACACCUCAAAAUCUUCAAAACAUGGUGUAUGUCGGAAUCCUAGGUUUGAGGGUUCCUAGCAUGGCAGUGGGAGUAACCAUCACCAUUUUAGAAAACCUUGUUAAACAAAAAUUGAUUACUGUAUUUUUUUUUUUUUGCGAAGAACUACAUACGUUAGAAUAACAAUUAACAAGGCCGAGUAAAGAUUAUAGAAAUAUUAAAAUGUUUACAAUUUUCAUUG
This 476-nucleotide small RNA is filed under the name Arabidopsis thaliana (thale cress). RNAcentral's name for it is "ATSL150090". Lineage: Eukaryota; Viridiplantae; Streptophyta; Magnoliopsida; Brassicales; Brassicaceae. The record is from RNAcentral.